Molecule: ribosomal RNA, 292 nt
Filed under: uncultured bacterium
Lineage: Bacteria
Description: partial 16S ribosomal RNA
Rfam family: Bacterial small subunit ribosomal RNA
Source: RNAcentral
GUGUCAGCCGCCGCGGUAAGACGAACCGUGCGAACGUUGUUCGGAAUCACUGGGCUUAAAGGGCGCGUAGGCGGGCUGUCAAGUCCGGGGUGAAAUCUUUCGGCUCAACCGGAAAAGUGCCUUGGAUACUGAUGGUCUGGAGGGAGGUAGGGGUAUGUGGAACUUCCGGUGGAGCGGUGAAAUGCGUUGAUAUCGGAAGGAACGCCGGUGGCGAAAGCGACGUACUGGACCUCUUCUGACGCUGAGGCGCGAAAGCUAGGGGAGCGAACGGGAUUAGAAACCCCCGUAGUCC